Molecule: ribosomal RNA, 253 nt
Filed under: uncultured bacterium
Lineage: Bacteria
Description: partial 16S ribosomal RNA
Rfam family: Bacterial small subunit ribosomal RNA
Source: RNAcentral
UACAGAGGUGGCAAGCGUUGUUCGGAAUUACUGGGCGUAAAGAGCGCGCAGGCGGUCGUCCAAGUCGCGUGUGAAAGCCCCCGGCUCAACUGGGGAGGGUCACGCGAUACUGGUCGACUCGAAGGCAGGAGAGGGUAGUGGAAUUCCCGGUGUAGUGGUGAAAUGCGUAGAUAUCGGGAGGAACACCAGUGGCGAAGGCGACUACCUGGCCUGUUCUUGACGCUGAGGCGCGAAAGCUAGGGGAGCAAACGGG